GUGUUGCUCACCUGGACAUACAGCUAAGUAUGGAAGCUAUACAUUGAUCGAUGUGGACACACAUCAAGUUUUGGACAUCCAGUUGGUGCAGUCAAAUGAAGUGGCCAAUU
Haliotis rubra (blacklip abalone) is the source of this 110-nucleotide long non-coding RNA. RefSeq lists it as uncharacterized. The transcript is spliced from 3 exons. Lineage: Eukaryota; Metazoa; Mollusca; Gastropoda; Lepetellida; Haliotidae. The record is from RefSeq and is a predicted model, not a curated record.